RNAcentral lists this long non-coding RNA (265 nucleotides) under Cricetulus griseus (Chinese hamster). RNAcentral's name for it is "lncRNA (ENSCGRG00000024709.1)". Lineage: Eukaryota; Metazoa; Chordata; Mammalia; Rodentia; Cricetidae. The record is from RNAcentral.
AAAAGAACUGUCAGGUUGGAACAGUUACUUUGUGGCUCCAGGUGCCUCAUUGGCUCAUCUAAUCUUCCCCAGAGAGGUGGGACAUCUCAUCUGGGCAACAUGUUCUCUGGACUGUCAAAGGCUGUGAACAGCUUAUCCUGUCAAGAACUUAAAAUUUUCAUGUCCUUAAAAUAACAAAUUGGACUGAAGAAAUGUGUUUCAGGCAGUAAGACCUCAAAGGAGGUUCACAUCCUCCUGGAAACUUCUGCAACUGGCUGUACUGAAG